UGACCUCGGAUCAUGUAGGGAUACCCGCUGAACUUAAGCAUAUCAAUAAGCGGAGGA
Molecule: ribosomal RNA, 57 nt
Filed under: Trichophyton benhamiae
Lineage: Eukaryota; Fungi; Ascomycota; Eurotiomycetes; Onygenales; Arthrodermataceae
Description: partial 28S ribosomal RNA
Rfam family: Eukaryotic large subunit ribosomal RNA
Source: RNAcentral